GCGCCUGUGGCUCAAAGGAGUAGGGCACCGGCCCCAUAUGCUGGAGGCGGCAGGUUCAAACCCAGCCCCGGCCCA
Molecule: non-coding RNA, 75 nt
Organism: Otolemur garnettii (small-eared galago)
Lineage: Eukaryota; Metazoa; Chordata; Mammalia; Primates; Galagidae
Source: Rfam